RNAcentral lists this ribosomal RNA (445 nucleotides) under uncultured bacterium. RNAcentral's name for it is "bacterial SSU rRNA". It matches the Rfam family "Bacterial small subunit ribosomal RNA", at positions 954 to 1392 of the family's 1533-position model. The record is from RNAcentral.
GCUAAACGCGAAGAACCUUACCUGGGCUUGAACUGUCGGUAUAGGGACCCGAAAGGGCGACGAUCCCGGGCAACCGGGAAGCCGAUAGAGGUGCUGCAUGGCUGUCGUCAGCUCGUGUCGUGAGAUGUUGGGUUAAGUCCCGCAACGAGCGCAACCCUUGUCUUUAGUUGCCAGCGAGUCAUGUCGGGCACUCUAAGGAGACUGCCUCGGAUAACGAGGAGGAGGGUGGGGAUGACGUCAAGUCAGCAUGGCCUUUAUGUCCAGGGCUACACACGUGCUACAAUGGGCGGCACAGAAGGACGCGAGACCGCGAGGUCAAGCCAACCCUUAAAACCGUUCUCAGUUCGGAUUGCAGGCUGCAAUUCGCCUGCAUGAAGUCGGAAUCGCUAGUAAUCGCGGAUCAGCUACGCCGCGGUGAAUACGUUCUCGGGUCUUGUACACACCG